RNAcentral lists this small RNA (286 nucleotides) under Sphingobium jiangsuense. Its description in RNAcentral is "Sphingobium sp. BA-3 5' ureB small RNA". It matches the Rfam family "5' ureB small RNA". Lineage: Bacteria; Pseudomonadati; Pseudomonadota; Alphaproteobacteria; Sphingomonadales; Sphingobiaceae. The record is from Rfam by way of RNAcentral.
UCCUCCACCUGUUGCGGGCAGAUGAAAUGGAUAUGCGCGUCGAUCGCGCCUGCGGUCAGGAUCUUGCCCUCGCCCGCGAUGACCUCCGUGCCGGGGCCGAUGACGAUAUCGACGCCGUCCUGCACAUCGGGAUUGCCCGCCUUGCCGAUGGCGGCGAUCCGCCCGUCGCGCAGCGCGACAUCGGCCUUCACUAUGCCCCAAUGGUCGAGGAUGACGGCAUUGGUGAUGACGGUAUCGACCGCCCCCUGCGCGCGGGACAGCUGGCUCUGCCCCAUGCCGUCGCGGA